Molecule: long non-coding RNA, 1369 nt
Filed under: Chloebia gouldiae (Gouldian finch)
Lineage: Eukaryota; Metazoa; Chordata; Aves; Passeriformes; Passeridae
Description: Erythrura gouldiae (Gouldian finch) lncRNA (ENSEGOG00005017479.1)
Source: RNAcentral
AUGGGGAACUCUGCUGCAGGGAACAGGGAUUUGAAAACCCAUGGAGACCUCCCAGGUCCCUGCUCCAGCAAUAUGAACCAGGGAUUGCUGGGAACGUGUGGAAGAGCUGUGGAAAGCGGUGGCUCAAGAGCCAGGAUGUGGAUCAGCUAUCAGGAAAAUUCCUUCUGGAAAGGGCUGUCUAGCCCUGGAACAGGCAGUGGUGGAGUCCCUGUUCUGCAGGGAUUUAAAGCCGUGUGGAUGUGGCACCUGGGCACAUGGGGCCUUGGCAGGGCUGGGGGACCGUUGGACCCAAGGAUCUCAGAGGGCUUUUCCAACCCCAGCAAUUCUGUUGAAAGGCUGGAAGGUAUCAGGAGGAACCGGAGUGAAGCCACACGUGGGCCAAAACCACAGGGAGGGCUGGGAGGGAAGACACCAAGGUGGCACAUGCCAGCACCUCACAGAGCAGCCUCACCCCACCAUCUCCACAGGCUGCAUUCCCGUGUCCAGAUCCUCUUCCACUGUCCAAUGACAAAAUCCCAAGGCUCUCUAGCAAUACCUCUCCAAGCACCAGGGCCAUGCACCUCUGCCCUGGGACGCUGUCAGAGCCCCGGAUUGCUGGGGAAGGGGAAGCACAUCCUCCCUGGCACCCUGGAACUCACCUGCACCAACUUCCAUGGGCAUAGGAUCCUCUCCCGAAGCCUCUUCCUGCCGCUCCAUCUCUUCUGGUGGCAGUGGGUGCUUCUGAUUGUUGGGGACAGCUGUCUGGAGGGGGUUCUGACUGUCCCCAGUCUGUGUCUGAAGCAGUGUCUGGCUGUCCCCAGUGUGUGCUUGUGGGGACUUGGGGCUGUUCCCAUUCUGUGUCUGUGGGGGUUUCGGGCUGUUCCCACUCUGUGUCCUUGGGGACUCUGGGCUGUUCCCACUNNNNNNNNNNGGCUGUUCCCACUCUGUGUCCUUGGGGACUCUGGGCUGUUCCCACUCCGUGUCCAUGAGGAUUUCGGGCUGUCCCCAGUCUCUCUUUGUGGGGAGUUCUGGCUGUCCCCAUUCUCUAUCUGUAGGAUUUUCUGGCUGUUCCCACUCCAUGUCCAUGAGGAUUUUGGGCUGUCCCCAGUCUGUAUUUGUGGGGGUUUCUGGCUGUUCCCACUCNNNNNNNNNNUGUUCCCACUCCGUGUCCAUGAGGAUUUUGGGCUGUCCCCAGUCUGUGUCUGUGGGGUUUUCUGGCUGUUCCCACUCCGUGUCCGUGGGGAUUUUGGGCUGUUCCUGAUCUGUGUCUCUGGGGGCUCCUGGCUGUCCCCAUUCUGUAUCUGUGGGGUUUUCUGGCUGUCCCCAUUCUGUGUCCAUGAGGGCUCGGGACCCUUUUCGUUGCUGAGCUCUUCAUCCCUCUUGAUGCGGG